Non-coding RNA from Dermacentor albipictus, 3514 nucleotides. NCBI's taxonomy places the organism in Eukaryota, Metazoa, Arthropoda, Arachnida, Ixodida, Ixodidae. The record is from RefSeq and is a predicted model, not a curated record.
UGCUAUCUACAUGCACGAUUGCCACGUGCAUAUACCCGCCCCUCACUAUUACUAACCCUUUCCACCUUCGUCUAUAAAUAACGAUGCAGAAUAAAGGCGUUGGUGAUUUUGCUUCUUGACAACCCAGCUGUCCAGUCUGUUCGUUGCACACGAGAACGAAACAUGGUGUCAGAAGUUGGAUGCAAGGCUACCAGCUCAAGCGAAUGGUACCUGGGAUAGGCGAACGUGAGAAGCAUCGACAUGGAGCACCUGAGGCAACCUGAACCGCUACGCUUGACAGCGGAUGGCGGAAGGAACUGGAAGCGGUUUCGUCAGCAGUUCGAGUUUUUUCUACAAGCGACGGUAUGCAAAGCCAAUCCAAGGUCGGAAGCGGCGAAGACGGCCCUGCUCCUCAGCGUGGCGGGGGAGGAAGCGUUGGACGUUUUCAACAAUUUUGUGUUCAGCGGAGAAGAGAACAAGGAAGACUACAAUACCGUGAUUGCCAAGUUCGAAGAAUACUGCACGGAGCAACAGAAUGAAAUCCACGAGCGAUACGUUUUCCGCUCUCGCAGUCAAGGUGAGGCGGAGCCUUUUGAGCAGUUUCUACGCGAGUUGAAAAAACAAGCGCAGUACUGCAACUUUGGGACUAUGGCAGACGAUAUGGUACGAGACCAAAUUGUCUUUGGAACAAACUCGCCAAGGCUCCGAGAAAAGAUGCUCAGGGACAAAAACCUGACCUUGGAAAAGGUUGUCAUCCUAUGCAAGGCGGCUGAAACAACACGCCAAAACGAAUUCUGGCAGAAAACAAAGGAAGAACUCGAUAUGAACGCUGUCACUGCCAGCAAGAGCACUCAUAGAGGGUCCAGACACGACCCAAAAUGCAGCCGCUGCAACCGAAAGCAUGCCGUUAGACGCUGUCCACCUUACGGCAAAGUCUGUUACUCGUGUAAUGGGCGAAAUCACUUCGCAUGUUGUUGCAGUGAGAAAGAGCGCGUAUACGAAGUACAGCAUCAAAACGACGACUUCGAAGUACUGAAUGUCGCCAGCAGCAGCGCAAGCAGAGAACGAGACUGGCAUGUGAACGCAUGCAUUGACGGCAAGUACGUCUCCUUUAAGGUGGACACAGGAUCGCAGGCAAACGUAUUGCCACUCUCAAUAUUUCGCAAGUUCAAGAAGACCAGUCUGAUGCCCAGUUGCGCCGUUCUGAGAUCCUAUGGGGGCAACAUGAUCAAGCAUGUUGGGAAGUUUUCAGCGCCAAUCAAGAUUGGCGACCGCGAGGCGUGCGCAAGUUUUUUUGUGGUAAAGAAGGACCACAGCGCUAUCUUAGGCUUAGAAACCAGCGAGAAGCUAGGAAUCGUCACGCAGUCAACAGCGCGCUGUACGACGAGCAACACCGAAGCAAUUGUGAAGGAGUUCCCACGUCUUUUCCAUGGAAUAGGGCGCGCUCCGCGUGAAUACAAGAUUGCGCUGCACAAGGAUGCCGUGCCAGUCGUCCAGCCAGCUAGAAGAGUGCCCCUGUCCCUGCGAGAGCCUCUCCGUACUGAACUAGGCAGAAUGGAAAAGGAAGGCAUCAUCCAGAAGGUCAGCAGCCCCACAGAUUGGGUAAGCCCCCUUGUCAUUGUACUAAAGAAAGACGGCAAAUUGCGAGUCUGCAUGGACCCAAGACGCAUCAUCGAAAACAUCAAGAGGGAGCACUACCAAAUGCCGCGCAGAGAGGAUAUUGAGGCAGACUUAGCAGGCGCGAAGUUUUUUUCGCGUCUCGACGCAAAUGCGGGAUUUCAUCAAAUCGCAUUAGACGAACAGUCAUCGAAGAUAUGCACAUUCGCGACGCCCUUCGGCCGCUAUCGCUUUCUUCGGCUACCGUUCGGUAUAGCUUCGGCUAGCGAAGUGUUUCAAAAAGCCCUUAACGAGGUUUUUGAUGGCCUGCCAGGUGUACGCGUGUACGUAGACGAUGUGCUAAUCUGGGGAGGGACCAGGGCUGAACACGAUGAGAGGCUGCGCUGAGUAUUAGAAGCAGCUGAAAAGGCAGGUCUUACCUUCAAUGCAUCCAAGUGUCGCUUUGGCCUGCAAGAAGUACUCUUCCUGGGUGACAUCAUUAGCGACAAGGGCAUUAGGCCAAAUCCAAAUCUCGUUGACGGUCUUUUAAAAAUGCCAAAACCUCAGGACAAAUUGGCGGUACAAAGACUGCUGGGAGUCGUUAACUACUUCAGCAAGUACCUACCGUCACUCUCGCAGCGCACGUCUACUUUACGAUCCCUCGUCAAACAAGGUGUCAUCUUUGAUUGGAUACCAACCCACGAAAAGGAAUGGCAGGCUAUAUGUCGGGACUUAAGCAAUGCACCAUUGCUUGCUAUAUUUGAUCCGAGUCUGGAGACGAAAGUUACUGCAGAUGCCUCUCGGAGUGGUGUUGGUACGGCGCUUCUGCAACGUCAUGGGGACUGCUGGCAGCCGGUCGCCUACGCGUCAAGAGCUUUGACAGAAUCGGAGCAAAGAUAUUCGCAGAUUGAAAAAGAGGCGUUGGCUUUUGCUUUCGGUUGCGAAAAGUUCAAUCAUUUCGUUUAUGGCCAGUCCCUCAUCCUCGAGAGCGACCACAGUCCACUGAUAAACAUAUCAAAGAAAGGCAUAAGUGAUAUGCCACCCAGAGUGCAACGAUUUUUCUUGAGAUUGAUGAAAUAUGACUACACGCUAACAUAUAUUCCUGGCAAACAAAUGGCCCUUGCUGAUAUGCUGUCCCGAUCACCUGUUACAGGACUCAAGGCAGCUCCAGACAUGAGUGACGUCGAGAUCCAUGCCGUCACGGUCGUAUCAGCACUCGGCGAGUCCUGUUGAAGAUGGCCGGUCUCCUGGGGAACUGCUGCAAGGAAGGCGGCUGCGCACACCAUUGCCGGACUUCAAUCCGAUGUCGGCGACUGUCGUCAAGAAACACCGGCAGAGAAGUCAUCAUAGGCGCACCUUACCAGACCUCAGUAACAAUGACGCGGUACGCUUGAAUGGAACAUCGUGGGCCAGGAAAGCCAAGGUGGUCAGAUCGGCCGGCCCACGAUCCUUCCAUGUGCGCACAGAGAACAAUACUGUGAUGAGACGCAACCGUCGGCAUCUUCUGGCGACGAAGGAAUCGUAUGAGGUUGGCUCAACAGACGACGAAGAUAAGACCGACAACCAGACCCCAUUUCAAGGUGUGGCGUCAACUACUACUGCAGCCUCGCCCGUGGUAGGUCAACAGCCGUCGCCUCAGCCAUUGCGACGCAGUCAACGACAGACGCGGCAGCCAGAGCGUCUGGGUUAUGACCAGCAGUUCCAGCAGACGAGCCAGCGGUAUUAAUUAUUACUGUUUGGAAAGAGGAUGUAUCAUAUCUGAUGAAAGCGCAUGUGCUAUCUACAUGCACGAUUGCCACGUGCAUAUACCCGCCCCUCACUAUUACUAACCCUUUCCACCUUCGUCUAUAAAUAACGAUGCAGAAUAAAGGCGUUGGUGAUUUUGCUUCUUGACAACCCAGCUGUCCAGUCUGUUCGUUGCACACGAGAACGAAACACU